This 483-nucleotide small RNA is filed under the name Pongo abelii (Sumatran orangutan). RNAcentral's name for it is "retained intron". The record is from RNAcentral. Lineage: Eukaryota; Metazoa; Chordata; Mammalia; Primates; Hominidae.
AUGAAGAGCUCCCAAACUUUUGAGGAACAAACGGAAUGCAUUGUGAACACUCUACUCAUGGACUUCUUGAGCCCAACAUUGCGGGUUGCCAACCGGAACCUAUGCUGUGAAGAUGAAGUAGAUUCAGGAGAGCCUUGUUCUUUUGAUGUGGCUAUCAUUGCUGGUCGCCUUCGGAUGUUGGGUGACCAGUUCAACGGAGAAUUGGAAGCUUCUGCCAAAAACGUCAUUGCAGAAACCAUUAAGGGACAGGCAGGAGCUAUACUCCAGAACACAGUGGAAUCUCUCAGCAAGACCUGGUGUGCUCAGGAUUCCAGCUUAGCUUAUGAGAGAGCUUUUCUGGCAGUGUCAGUGAAACUUCUUGAGUAUAUGGCUCACAUUGCUCCUGAAGUAGUGGGACAGGUGGCUAUCCCCAUGACGGGUAUGAUCAAUGGGAACCAAGCCAUCCGGGAGUUCAUCCAGGGCGAGGGAGGUUGGGUAAGUGUG